UACGGAGGGUGCGAGCGUUGUCCGGAAUCACUGGGCGUAAAGGGCGCGUAGGUGGUUCGGUAAGUCGGAUGUGAAAUCUCCAGGCUCAACCUGGAGGGGUCAUUCGAUACUGCCGUGACUAGAGGUCGGUAGGGGAGUGUGGAAUUCCUGGUGGAGCGGUGAAAUGCGCAGAUAUCAGGAGGAACACCCGUAGCGAAGGCGGCACUCUGGGCCGAUACUGACACUGAGGAGCGAAAGCGUGGGGAGCGAACAGG
This 254-nucleotide ribosomal RNA is filed under the name uncultured bacterium. RNAcentral describes it as "partial 16S ribosomal RNA". It matches the Rfam family "Bacterial small subunit ribosomal RNA", at positions 524 to 776 of the family's 1533-position model. The record is from RNAcentral.